UACGUAGGGUGCAAGCGUUGUCCGGAAUUAUUGGGCGUAAAGAGCUUGUAGGCGGUUUGUCGCGUCUGCUGUGAAAUUUCGGGGCUCAACCCCGAACUUGCAGUGGGUACGGGCAGACUAGAGUGUGGUAGGGGAGACUGGAAUUCCCAGUGUAGCGGUGAAAUGCGUAGAUAUUGGGAAGAACACCUGAGGCGAAGGCGGGAUGCUGGGCCGACACUGACGCUGAGGCGCGAAAGCCAGGGGAGCAAACGGG
Molecule: ribosomal RNA, 253 nt
Filed under: uncultured bacterium
Lineage: Bacteria
Description: partial 16S ribosomal RNA
Rfam family: Bacterial small subunit ribosomal RNA
Source: RNAcentral